UAGGAAAGUCAUAAAUAUAUAAAUUAUAUUAUAUAAUUAAUAUACUCCUUUCGGGGUUCCGGUCUCCGUACCGGACCCCGAAACUAAUAAAAUAAAUUAUAUAUUUUAUUUAUAAUAUUAUUUCUUUAUAAGAUAAAUAUUAUCUGAUGAAUAAUUAGAUUGAAUAAUAUUUAUAAAGAAAUAUAUAUAAAAAGUUAUUAUAUAAAUUUAAUUAUAAUUUAAAUAAAUUUUAUAUAAAUUAAUAUAAUAUUAAUAAAGUAAUUAGUAUAAAUAAAUAAUAUGAAAAUAAAACUUAAUAAAUAUAUAAAUAUAAUCCAUAUAUAUAUAUUAAUAAAAAAAAGUAAUAUAUAUAUAUAUUGGAAUAGUUAUAUUAUUAUACAGAAAUAUGCUUAA
RNAcentral lists this unclassified non-coding RNA (393 nucleotides) under Saccharomyces cerevisiae (brewer's yeast). The record is from RNAcentral. Lineage: Eukaryota; Fungi; Ascomycota; Saccharomycetes; Saccharomycetales; Saccharomycetaceae.